UUUCGGUAGUUUACUACCGUUUGAAGGGGGUGGAAACCUUGAAAGAGGGAGUACAUUCUGUUCUUAACCCUUAACUUUUUGCGUACUUAUGUUUCCUUAGUAGGCUUGCCUGCCGAUUGGACAAUUAAUAACCUUUUUACUUUUUAAUUAGCGUCUAAUAAAUUUUAAUAAUUACAACUUUCAACAACGGAUCUCUUGGUUCU
Molecule: unclassified non-coding RNA, 203 nt
Filed under: rhizosphere metagenome
Description: partial ribosomal RNA internal transcribed spacer region
Source: RNAcentral